RNAcentral lists this ribosomal RNA (501 nucleotides) under Salmonella enterica subsp. enterica serovar Oranienburg. RNAcentral's name for it is "partial 23S ribosomal RNA". It matches the Rfam family "Bacterial large subunit ribosomal RNA", at positions 161 to 599 of the family's 2925-position model. The record is from RNAcentral. Lineage: Bacteria; Pseudomonadati; Pseudomonadota; Gammaproteobacteria; Enterobacterales; Enterobacteriaceae.
AAUCCAUAGGUUAAUGAGGCGAACCGGGGGAACUGAAACAUCUAAGUACCCCGAGGAAAAGAAAUCAACCGAGAUUCCCCCAGUAGCGGCGAGCGAACGGGGAGGAGCCCAGAGCCUGAAUCAGCAUGUGUGUUAGUGGAAGCGUCUGGAAAGGCGCGCGAUACAGGGUGACAGCCCCGUACACAAAAGCGCAUGUGCUGUGAGCUCGAUGAGUAGGGCGGGACACGUGGUAUCCUGUCUGAAUAUGGGGGGACCAUCCUCCAAGGCUAAAUACUCCUGACUGACCGAUAGUGAACCAGUACCGUGAGGGAAAGGCGAAAAGAACCCCGGCGAGGGGAGUGAAAAAGAACCUGAAACCGUGUACGUACAAGCAGUGGGAGCCCCACCACUAAGCCAGUGGUGAACUCCACAUACGCAUCCUUUGCUGAGGAUACGGUUAACGGAGCGAAAGCGACGUUCAACCGCAAAAGAAGCAGAGGGGGCUUAGUGGUGGGGUGACUG